Long non-coding RNA from Schistocerca cancellata (South American locust), 5347 nucleotides. RefSeq lists it as uncharacterized. The record is from RefSeq and is a predicted model, not a curated record. NCBI's taxonomy places the organism in Eukaryota, Metazoa, Arthropoda, Insecta, Orthoptera, Acrididae. The transcript is spliced from 3 exons.
GACAUUUGUUGCGCAGUAAAUAGGCUCUCUCUCACACUUAUCUUAAAAUAUGUUAUAUUCUAGGUGGCAGAAAGUUGAGUGGCUUCAGAAUUUACAUGUAAAUUCUAGAAGCAUUACAGUGUCUAAUAAGACAUUCAAUUUGUGUGUAGACCAACUUAGCUGAUAAAUGCACAAAUAGAAAUGUGACACUAGGUAAUUGGUAUAGUAGCUAUCCACUCUCUCUCUCUCUCUCUCUCUCUCUCUCUCUCUCUCUCUCUGCUGCAAAACAAAAUCACUUGAAUAGGAACCCUGAAAAGGAUAAAAAGAAAUCCCACCUGAGUUUCUGCAUAUGAAGAACAGAGAAAUUGGUUUAGCAGUUUUUGAAUACCAUAAGGACCUUAGUAUGGUAUUGUUUGUACCUAAACAUAAGAAAGUUGUACUCAUGUCCAGAUCAUACAAUCAAAGAACAAUAGAUGAGGCCAACUAAGAAACCUCACAUUACACUAGAUUGUAAUAAUACAAAAGAUGGCGUUGAUACUGUUGACCAGAUGUACAAUAAAUACUCAGCAACGUGAAUGACAAGAAGAUGGACAACUGCUACCCACUGUUGAAUGUGGCUGGAAUCAAUGAGUAGUCAUUAUUUCAAGCAAAUGAAAAGAAUGAGAAACAUUCAUGUCGAGUUUUUGUAAAGAACCUUUGUUUUCAACAAAUGAAACCACAUCUUAUCGAAAGACUUGCAGUAUCAAGUUUACCAGCUGAUGUUAGUCAUUGCAAAGUUCAAGAGACACAUAUAGAAGAGAAACCAAUAAAAAAAGUUAGAUGUGGAAUUUGUGUAACAGCAAAGAAUAGCUCUACAGCAAUUAGAUGUAGCUCCUGUAAGGAUUCUGUGUAACAAAUUAGCAUUUAUGACAUGUAUGUAAAUAUUGUUAAACACCAGCUUAAAAAUGUUUGUUGUAAUCACUGUAUGCUGUAACGUACUGCAACAAAAUAUAAAACAGUAGCAAAAAAUAGCCACUUGUCAUCUACGAGUAUGUGUACAUAAUACACUGCAUGCAUGCUCCUGUAACAUUAAAGAGCAUGCCUGCUCUUGGGUUAAAUUAUAGGAUGCGGCAUGGUUCAAAAGGUCCUCUCUGUGUCUACUUUUUUGAGAAAAUCAAUGUUGACAUCACCACAGAUUCUGAAACCACAAUCCUUUUAUUUACUUUGUUUAGCAAUGACUCCUAUUUAUUUAAGAAAAGUCCAAAAUUUCCAGAUGGUUGUUGGUAAACUGCAGCAGUUUUUAUGGCUGCUAUUUUGUAGACCUUUUCGACAUUUGUUCCAGUUAAGCGAGGUGGGGUAGUAAAUUCUAUAUUUUCCUUUAUGUAAAUUGCUACCACACUCUGUUUGCUGUUUUUUUCUGCAACAGCAGGAAGACAUAAUGAAUCUAUUUAUUUUUGUAUAUUGAAUUAAUUCAAGGUUAACCCCAAUACUGAGAUAUCCUUUAGUUUACCUGUGAACAGUAUGUUAAUGUCAUUGACCUUGUUACACUGGGAUUGUACAUUAUAGUUAGAUUAGGUUAGAUUAAGUUUUCAUUUCAUAGAUCAAAAUUGAGGUGAUUUCUUGGGUGUGGAACAUGUCAGAAGGUAUAACAUAAAAAACAUAGAACAUUUUAAUAUAAUACACACUUCCCUGAUCAUUUGUCAGGAGAUUGUCAAGAUAUGUAAAUGCAAAGUUAUGCGCUUUUAAUGAACUUAUCAUACAAAAAACCUAAUCUUGACUGUUGUAACCAAGUGCUGUCAAAAUUGAAAUCUAACAGACAUUUUGACUUAAGCUAGUGUAACAGUCCUUGUUAAGAUAUUCAUUCACAGAGCAGAAGUUGCCUACCAAAAAGUCUUUCAAAUGCUGUUUAAACUGUGCUUUAUCUGAAACCAAGUUUUUAAUGGUUUCUGGCAAUUUACUGAAAAUGUGUCUUCGUGAAUAUUGGACUUCUUUUUGGGUCAAUAUAAGAGAUUUUAUGUAGAUUGUUAUUAUUCCUAAUAUUGAUAUUAUGUAUUGAGCUACUGACUGGAAAUAGAGACCUAUAAUUUGGAAAAUAUUUCAUUAAGGAAUAAUUGCACUGAGUAGCAGUUGUUAGAAUACCCAAUUCCUUGAACAAAUUUCUACAUGAUAUUCUUGAACUUAAACCACAAAUGAGUCUUAUUACAUGCUUGUGUAAUCUAAAAACGUUUGCUCUGUUUGACAAAUUACCUCAGAAUAUGAUCUCAUAUGACAUAAUAGAAAGAAAGUAAGCAAAAUAUGCAAGUUUUUUUCUUUAGUUAUACCUCCUACAGCAAUUCUGUGGUAUUUCCUUCCCAACAGAAUUUAUUACCGAGUUGUAAUCCCAGAAAUUUAAUACUGUAAACCUCUUCUAUCUGCAUGUAUUCAUAUGUUAUACACAUGAUGGAAAGAAAUCUCUUACAGGUUCUGAACUGCGAAGUUUAAUGACAGUGAAUUAGCUUUAAACAACUUAUUAACAUCAGUGAACGUUUGAAUAGCAGUCAUUUCUAAAUCUGUACUGGACUUGCUACUUAUUGCAAUGUUUGUAUUAUCUGCAAACAAAACAAACUCAGCAUCUCACAGUGUAACAGACAAUAGGUCAUUUAUGUAAACAAGAAGAAGCAAUGGAUGCAAGAUGGAACCUUGAGGAACAUCACAUAUAAUCAAUUCCCAAUUAGAUGAAGAUGGAUUACUUACUCUACAGAAUGUCACACAUUUUAUACUGGUCAUGAGGGUCUGUGAGUGAAAAAAUCGUGUAUGGAAAGGUCUCAUAUGUUCCUACCACAGGUGGGCAACCAGCAACUGGCAGCCUGCAGGCUGGAUCCAAUCCAUGAUUGAUUUCAAUCCCGCCCAUGGAUAACAUCCGCGGGAGAGGACAAGAUGCUCACACUCUACUCCACCUGAGACACAUUUUUGGGUAUUCCUGACAAUGCUUGGGUAAGCUCGGUGCCCAUUUGCAGCUCAUGAUGCAGACCAGUGAAAGACCAGUGAAAGUUUUGCUAGUGAUUUUUGUUCAUGGUGUAGAUGUGGACUUCAAAACAAUGAAAGAAUGAUUAGCAUUACAGCCAUUAAAAGGAACCAAUACUGGUGAAAAUGUUUUUCACAAAGUUGAAAAUUGGAUGCUGGAUGCACACGCAUUGCCUGAACUCUUACGGGACUUGGUAAGAUUGUCUGCCCCGAGUGUAAUGGGCAGGGGCACUAUGAAUUUAGUGUGUGGACAUUAAGUUAGGAAUGUGAGUCUCACGGGGAGCAUGCAAGGGAUAAUCCCUGCAGUCACAUUAUUCUCUGUGACCUCAGUGGCUCAGAUGGAUAGAGCAUCUGCAUUUGUAAGCAGGAGAUCCCAGGUUCGAGUCCCGGGCAAGGCACACAUUUUCAACUGUCCCCGUUGAUGUAUAUCAACUCCUGUCAACAGCUUAGGGUAUUGAUUUAAUUACAAUUUCAUUCUAAGAGAGCUGCAUGGUCACCGACGGUAUCUGUUCUUUCGGACAUGUCCAAAAGGACAGAUACCAUCUUCAUAUAGUUAAGGCUAGCCAGCUUUUAACCUUCUUCUUCUGUGUGGGAUGCACACACAUUGCUCGAACUCUUACGGGACUCAGUAAGAUUGUCUGCUGCGAGUAAUGAGCGUAACGGGCAGGGACACUACGAAUGUUGUGUGUGGACAUUAAGUUGGGAAUGUGGAUCUCACCGGGAGCGUGCAAGGGAUAAAUCUCUGCAUUUGCACUAUCCUCUCUGCCCUCGGUGGCUCAGAUAGAUAGAGCAUCUGCCAUGUAAGCAGGAGAUCCUGGGUUCGAGUCCCGGUCGGGGCACACAUUAUCAACUGUCCCUGUUGAUGUAUAUCAAUGCCUGUUGACAGCUUAGGGUCUCGAUUUAAUUAUCAUUUCACAUGAAGCUUCUGUUUACUGUAUGUGCUUGUUCACUAAUCAUUUAUGCUUCUGUCCAGCUUUCCAACAAUGGCAGCUAUUGUGCCACUCUGUAGCCCACCUCUACUUACCAUUAUGUACACAACAAUACCAAUAUAAGAAAACUGUGCAGUGACUGCUGCAGAGUUGCUGCAUGACAUGGCUGUUUGCAUGGUGUCUCAGCCUCUGAUGGGAUAGAAUGAGCCUGUGAUAGGGCUGGAAUAUGAACUCCUGGGUGGGUGGAUUGGGCAGGUCUUGCAUCUGGAUCUUCCACAGGGAAGGAUCUUAGGUGAGAUGUCCCUCAGUUCAGGGCAUGAUGAUAGAUAAUCAAAGCCCUGAUGAAGGAUGUGGUUCAGUUGUUUCUGUCCAGAGGCAUAUUGGGUGACGAAGGGGUCACUUCUUUGUAGCUGAUUCUUGGGAGUGGUGGGAGGAUUUGAGGUAUGUGAGCAUAUGGCACGGGAAAUCUGUUUGUCAACUAUGUCUGGGGGUAGCACUUGUCUGUGAAGGUCUUUGUGAGACUUCCAGCAUACCAGGCAAGGGAGUUCUUGAGACUGGAGAUAUGCUGUCCUGGGUAGCCAGGCUGAAUGGGAGAGAUUUUUUGGUGUCAAGGGGGUGGCAGCUGUCAAAAUGCAGGUGCUGUUGGUGGUGAUGCAUUUAAUGUGGAAAGAGGUGUGGUUGGAGCCAUCAGAGAGGAUAAGAUCAAUGUCCAAGAAAGUGGGACACCUGUUGAGGACAACUAGGUGAAGCAGAUGGGAGAGAAGGUGUUGAGAUUGUGAAGGAAUGAGGAAAGCUUGUCUUGACACUGAGCCCAGAUCGUGAAGAUAUCAUCAGACUGGUAUAGGAGGGUCCACGGAAGUGCCAAUGGCUGUGUCACAGAUUUUGUAUGUAUAUGUUCCCUUCAAAGGACAAGUAGUUGUGUGUUAAGAUAAAGCUUGUAAGCUGUAUGAGGAAUUAUGUAGUAACCAGACUUCAAAUCCACUAGCUAGACUCAGAGUCAAGACAACAUUUCCUCAUUACUUCACAACCUCAACAACUCUCCCAUCCACUUCACCUUGUUCUUCUCAACCCAGCCUGCCACUUUCCUGCACAUUAAUUUUCUCCACUCUGAUGGCUCCAUCCACACCUCUGUCCAAAUUAAAUGCACCAACCACCAACAGUAUAUGCAUUUCGAAGGUGCCAUCGUUCCCACACCAAAAAAUCCUUCCCAUACAUCUGGCCACCCAAGACAGCAUAUCUGCAGUGACAAGAACUCCCUUGCCCCAUAUGCUGAAGGUAUCACAAUGGCUUUCACAGACAAGAACUAUCUCCCAGACCUGGUCCACAAAAAGAUUUCCUAUGCCAUAUCUCUACACACUCCCAGUUCUCCCACCAACCCCCAGGAACAAGCUAGAAAGAGUGCCUGUCCCCCUUCAUCACCCAAUACCACCCUGGGCUAGAACAGUUAAACCACAACC